This 236-nucleotide ribosomal RNA is filed under the name uncultured bacterium. RNAcentral describes it as "partial 16S ribosomal RNA". It matches the Rfam family "Bacterial small subunit ribosomal RNA", at positions 100 to 334 of the family's 1533-position model. The record is from RNAcentral.
CGGAACGGGUGAGUAACGCGUGAGGAACCUGCCUCAAAGAGGGGGACAACAGUUGGAAACGACUGCUAAUACCGCAUAAGCGCACAGUACCACAUGGUACAGUGUGAAAAACUCCGGUGGUAUGAGAUGGACCCGCGUCUGAUUAGCUAGUUGGUGAGGUAACGGCCCACCAAGGCGACGAUCAGUAGCCGACCUGAGAGGGUGACCGGCCACAUUGGGACUGAGACACGGCCCAG